Small nucleolar RNA from Colossoma macropomum (tambaqui), 69 nucleotides. RefSeq annotates it as small nucleolar RNA SNORD18. NCBI's taxonomy places the organism in Eukaryota, Metazoa, Chordata, Actinopteri, Characiformes, Serrasalmidae. The transcript has a single exon. The record is from RefSeq and is a predicted model, not a curated record.
CAGCUGUGAUGAGUUCUACUUCAGGUCCGUGUUUAUGAAUCCUGUGAUUUUUGUAGAAGUGCUGAGUUA